This 230-nucleotide ribosomal RNA is filed under the name uncultured bacterium. RNAcentral's name for it is "partial 16S ribosomal RNA". It matches the Rfam family "Bacterial small subunit ribosomal RNA", at positions 564 to 791 of the family's 1533-position model. The record is from RNAcentral.
AGGGUCCGUAGGCGGACUCGUAAGUCAGUGGUGAAAUCUCAUAGCUUAACUAUGAAACUGCCAUUGAUACUGCGGGUCUUGAGUAAGGUAGAGGUAGCUGGAAUAAGUAGUGUAGCGGUGAAAUGCAUAGAUAUUACUUAGAACACCAAUUGCGAAGGCAGGUUACCAUGUCUUAACUGACGCUGAUGGAACGAAAGCGGUGGGGAGCGAACAGGAUUAGAUACCCGGGU